GCUGACGAGCGGCGGACGGGUGAGUAACGCGUAGGAAUCUACCUUUCAGUUGGGGAUAGCCAGUAGAAAUGCUGAUUAAUACCGAAUACGGUCUACGGACGAAAGGGGGCUUCGGCUCCCGCUGAGAGAGGAGCCUGCGUUGGAUUAGCUAGUUGGUGGGGUAAAGGCCUACCAAGGCAACGAUCUAUAGCUGGUUUGAGAGGAUGAUCAGCCACACUGGGACUGAGACACGGCCCAGACUCCUACGGGAGGCAGCAGUGGGGAAUAUUGGACAAUGGGCGCAAGCCUGAUCCAGCCAUGCCGCGUGUGUGAAGAAGGCCUUCGGGUUGUAAAGCACUUUCAGUAGGGAGGAAAAGUUGGUGGUUAAUACCCAUCAGCCCUGACGUUACCUACAGAAGAAGCACCGGCUAACUCCGUGCCAGCAGCCGCGGUAAUACGGAGGGUGCGAGCGUUAAUCGGAAUUACUGGGCGUAAAGCGUACGUAGGCUGUUACUUAAGCUAGAUGUGAAAGCCCCGGGCUCAACCUGGGAACUGCAUUUAGAACUGAGUAGCUAGAAUGUGUGAGAGGUAAGUGGAAUUUCCAGUGUAGCGGUGAAAUGCGUAGAGAUUGGAAAGAACACCAGUGGCGAAGGCGACUUACUGGCAUAACAUUGACGCUGAGGUACGAAAGCGUGGGUAGCAAACAGGAUUAGAUACCCUGGUAGUCCACGCCGUAAACGAUGUCUACUAGUUGUUGGGACCUUUAUGGACUUAGUGACGCAGCUAACGCAUUAAGUAGACCGCCUGGGGAGUACGGUCGCAAGAUUAAAACUCAAAUGAAUUGACGGGGGCCCGCACAAGCGGUGGAGCAUGUGGUUUAAUUCGAUGC
This 868-nucleotide ribosomal RNA is filed under the name uncultured bacterium. Its description in RNAcentral is "bacterial SSU rRNA". It matches the Rfam family "Bacterial small subunit ribosomal RNA", at positions 87 to 957 of the family's 1533-position model. The record is from RNAcentral.